CUCCUAAAUGCGCUGGGCCGCACGCGCAAUACACUGACUUCGACAGCAAGCUUUUGCAUGCAGCCUGACCCGAAGGGGCCGGGGAAUCUCAGAGCCGAAGUCGUGCUGGGGAUUGAUGCUUGCAAUUAUUCUCCAUGAACAAGGAAUGCCUUGUAGGCGCGUUUCAUCAGAACGCACCGAAUACGUCCCUGGUUCUUGUACACACCGCCCGUCGUUGCCUGUAAUGGGUUGUGAGUAGAGCCAUUUGGAGACGUCACGGACCGGGUUCGCCCUGUUCGUUCGUCAAAAUUUGGCAAUACUCGCUACCUAGAAGAGGCAAAAGUCGUAACA
RNAcentral lists this ribosomal RNA (330 nucleotides) under uncultured eukaryote. RNAcentral's name for it is "partial 18S ribosomal RNA". It matches the Rfam family "Eukaryotic small subunit ribosomal RNA", at positions 1470 to 1796 of the family's 1831-position model. The record is from RNAcentral.